CCAAAGCACACGCGUUUUAAAUCAAAUCGAAUUUUGCAAAGAAGUGCUAAGUCCACGUGUGUAUAUAUAUAUGCACCACCUCGGGCUUAAUAACCGCCCAACAAACAAACCGACUAAUAAGUGAAGCACCACAAAGCUAAUUUCAAACGCCCAAAGUGGCUGGCGAAAUUUAGAUGGCACCGAUCGCAACAUCCAACUUAUAGUUGAAAAACUAAUUAGGAGUGCGCAGCGCUAUUUGAUCAAAUCGCCUGGUGCUCGUUUUGGCCCACUCUGGCUGCCAACACGUGGAGCGGGACCACUCGAGCCGAGCCACAUACAGUCUACCAGUGCAAAUUUAAGUUGCGAGCCAAGCUUUCCAACCGUUGUAAGACGUAAGGAAAACUUAAGUUCCCAGAUUGAUACACGUGUUGUUCGCCAUAUUCUCCUGACCAGUUGCGAGUAACCUAACCCCGGACUGAUGGUUAGCCAUCGACACGUCCAACACGAGCGUAUAGCGGAUAAGCAGGCACCCUGGACUCUUGUUCUAGCUGUUGAAUCUGCCGCCUCGCAGCUAAGGGUUCACCCCCGAUCUCGGCAGCCGAUCUGACUGUUGCAUCGCUUUUGUAGUUGUUAGAAUAGAUUUAAAUUUUAUAGAAAUUAAGCUUAUUAUACGGGUACAGUAUGUAUAUUUGGCCUUAGAUUGACUGUUAACUAAUAGUAUUUUGUAGUUCACUCAGCAUACACACAUCCUCGUUUACACACACCGUCCACAGGCCUGCACUGGAAACAGAUUUAAAGUAUUAAUGUUGUAAGUACGGCAUAGCCGACCAUCUGUUAACAUCAAUCUGAGCCAAGUAAUAUAACUAUAGAAUAACUAUAAAUUCAAGUUUUUUUCUUUUUCUUUUCAAAACUUAAUUGUUAACGUAAAUUUUUGAAUGAAGAACCUAAAUGAAGUCAUUUGUACCCAUUAUAUGGUUAAUCUGCCAUGGGCAAGCUAACGUUAAGCGAUUCAUAAGCAUCUGCCAUGGGCAAGCUAAUGUUAAGAAAAUCAUAAGCCGCUGCCAUGGGCAACUUAUCUUUAAUUGGAUUUUGGUACGUAUUUGAGAAUGAAGUAUA
This is a long non-coding RNA of Drosophila biarmipes, 1095 nucleotides long. RefSeq lists it as uncharacterized. The record is from RefSeq and is a predicted model, not a curated record. The transcript has 3 exons. Lineage: Eukaryota; Metazoa; Arthropoda; Insecta; Diptera; Drosophilidae.